UUAUAUGAGAGUUUGAUCCUGGCUCAGGACGAACGCUGGCGGCGUGCCUAAUACAUGCAAGUAGAACGCUGAAGUCUGGUGCUUGCACUAGACGGAUGAGUUGCGAACGGGUGAGUAACGCGUAGGU
RNAcentral lists this ribosomal RNA (127 nucleotides) under Streptococcus suis. RNAcentral's name for it is "partial 16S ribosomal RNA". It matches the Rfam family "Bacterial small subunit ribosomal RNA", at positions 1 to 122 of the family's 1533-position model. Lineage: Bacteria; Bacillati; Bacillota; Bacilli; Lactobacillales; Streptococcaceae. The record is from RNAcentral.